Molecule: non-coding RNA, 74 nt
Organism: Eragrostis curvula (weeping love grass)
Lineage: Eukaryota; Viridiplantae; Streptophyta; Magnoliopsida; Poales; Poaceae
Source: the annotation of a GenBank genome assembly
GGGGAUGUAGAUUAAUUGGUAGAACACUUCAGGUGGCUCCUAAGAGGCUCGGGGAUCGACUCCUCGCAUCUCCA